UGGGGAAUUUUGCGCAAUGGGGGAAACCCUGACGCAGCAACGCCGCGUGGAGGAUGAAGUACUUCGGUACGUAAACUCCUUUCGAUCGGGACGAUUAUGACGGUACCGAGAGAAGAAGCCCCGGCUAACUUCGUGCCAGCAGCCGCGGUAAUACGAGGGGGGCGAGCGUUGUUCGGAAUUAUUGGGCGUAAAGGGUGCGUAGGCGGUUUGGUAAGUCUGAUGUGAAAUCUAUGGGCUCAACUCAUAGUCUGCAUCGGAAACUGCCGGGCUUGAGUAUGGGAGAGGUGAGUGGAAUUCCUGGUGUAGCGGUGAAAUGCGUAGAUAUCAGGAGGAACACCUGUGGCGAAAGCGGCUCACUGGACCAUAACUGACGCUGAUGCACGAAAGCUAGGGGAGCAAACAGGAUUAGAUACCCUGGUAGUCCUAGCCCUAAACGAUGACUGCUUGGUGUGACGGGUACCCAAUCCCGCCGUGCCGUAGCUAACGCGUUAAGCAGUCCGCCUGGGGAGUACGGUCGCAAGGCUGAAACUUAAAGGAAUUGACGGGGUCAUAGCUGUUUCCU
RNAcentral lists this ribosomal RNA (562 nucleotides) under uncultured bacterium. RNAcentral's name for it is "partial 16S ribosomal RNA". It matches the Rfam family "Bacterial small subunit ribosomal RNA", at positions 355 to 1375 of the family's 1533-position model. The record is from RNAcentral.